This 481-nucleotide ribosomal RNA is filed under the name uncultured bacterium. RNAcentral describes it as "partial 16S ribosomal RNA". It matches the Rfam family "Bacterial small subunit ribosomal RNA", at positions 30 to 506 of the family's 1533-position model. The record is from RNAcentral.
AUUGAACGCUGGCGGCAUGCUUUACACAUGCAAGUCGAACGGUAACAGGCCGCAAGGUGCUGACGAGUGGCGAACGGGUGAGUAAUGCAUCGGAACGUGCCCAGUCGUGGGGGAUAACUACUCGAAAGAGUAGCUAAUACCGCAUACGAUCUAUGGAUGAAAGCGGGGGACCGUAAGGCCUCGCGCGAUUGGAGCGGCCGAUGUCAGAUUAGGUAGUUGGUGGGGUAAAGGCUCACCAAGCCAACGAUCUGUAGCUGGUCUGAGAGGACAACCAGCCACACUGGGACUGAGACACGGCCCAGACUCCUACGGGAGGCAGCAGUGGGGAAUUUUGGACAAUGGGCGCAAGCCUGAUCCAGCAAUGCCGCGUGCAGGAAGAAGGCCUUCGGGUUGUAAACUGCUUUUGUACGGAACGAAACGGCUCUGGUUAAUACCCGGGGCUAAUGACGGUACCGGAAGAAUAAGCACCGGCUAACUACGU